AUUGAACGCUGGCGGCAGGCCUAACACAUGCAAGUCGAACGAGUGGCGGAUGGGUGAUUAAUGUCUGGGAAACUGCCUGAUGGAGGGGGAUAACUACUGGAAACGGUAGCUAAUACCGCAUACCAUUGAAUGUGCCUAGAUGGGAUUAGCUAGUAGGUGUGGUACCGGCGCACCUAGUCGACGAUCCCUAGCUGGUCUGAGAGGAUGAGCAGCCACACUGGAACGGAGACACGGUCCAGACUCCUACGGGAGGCAGCAGUGGGGAAUAUUGCACAAUGGGCGCAAGCCUGAUGCAGCCAUGCCGCGUGUAUGAAGAAGGCCUUCGGGUUGUAAAGUACUUUAAGCGGGGAGGCGUUACCCACAGAAGAAGCACCGGCUAACUCCGUGCCAGCAGCCGCGGUAAUUC
Molecule: ribosomal RNA, 406 nt
Filed under: uncultured bacterium
Lineage: Bacteria
Description: partial 16S ribosomal RNA
Rfam family: Bacterial small subunit ribosomal RNA
Source: RNAcentral